This 429-nucleotide ribosomal RNA is filed under the name Actinomycetes bacterium. Its description in RNAcentral is "Actinobacteria bacterium partial 16S ribosomal RNA". It matches the Rfam family "Bacterial small subunit ribosomal RNA", at positions 355 to 776 of the family's 1533-position model. The record is from RNAcentral. Lineage: Bacteria; Bacillati; Actinomycetota; Actinomycetes.
UAGGGAAUCUUCCGCAAUGGGCGAAAGCCUGACGGAGCAACGCCGCGUGAGUGAUGAAGGUCUUCGGAUCGUAAAACUCUGUUAUUAGGGAAGAACAAAUGUGUAAGUAACUAUGCACGUCUUGACGGUACCUAAUCAGAAAGCCACGGCUAACUACGUGCCAGCAGCCGCGGUAAUACGUAGGUGGCAAGCGUUAUCCGGAAUUAUUGGGCGUAAAGCGCGCGUAGGCGGUUUUUUAAGUCUGAUGUGAAAGCCCACGGCUCAACCGUUGAAGGUCAUUGGAAACUGGAAACCUUGAGUGCAGAAGAGGAAAGUGGAAUUCCAUGUGUAGCGGUGAAAUGCGCAGAGAUAUGGAGGGACACCAGUGGCGAAGGCGACUUUCUGGUCUGUAACUGACGCUGAUGUGCGAAAGCGUGGGGAUCAAACAAG